UUCCAGUCUGGCAGUAAGAGAGGGAAAGGCGAAGUUCACGAGCCACGAUUGGCCGCGCCUGGUCGCGCCUCAUAUGACGUCAGAGACAGAGACCAAUGGGAGUCCAAGGACAGCCUCGCGGGAAGACGGCAGGGGAGGCCGAUGAAAGUUGGUCUAAAUAUGGCAGAAGGGCCACCUGAAAGAGAUUUCUGCCACAUCGAAGCAAGGAAGCGACAGGCAUCUGACCUGUAAGCCAGGCAGACACCGUGAUUGGAGGCUUCAAGCCAGGCUUGUCAGCACCUAAACAACAAGACUGAAAACCAAACACCAGAGUGGACAAAGAGCACCUCUGAAUUCGUGCUGGACCAGAGAUGUGAGGACCAGACAUCUCCUGCUUCUCCUCGUCCUGGCACCUUACACAUUCGCUAACCAGACACAGCCCUGGGGAAGGGCGCUGGUCUUCCAUGAUAAGAUUAUUGUCCCUGGCAGCUGAGUGGGCCUUAAAGUAAAAAUAAAGUUCAGUUACAGAAAAAAAAAUUCCAAUUUUUCCACAUUUGAGUUUGUAGACUGAAGUUCAUUCCUGCUACAACAGUAUCACCUGUAUUAUGACCUGAAACUGAAGUCGCUCAGUCGUGUCCGACUCUUUGCAACCCCAUGGACUGUAGCUUACCACGCUCCUCUGUCCAUGGGAUUUUCCAGCCAAGAGGACUGGAGUGGGUUGCCAUUUCCUUCUCCAGAGGAUCUUCCCAACCCAGGGAUUGAAACCAGGUCUCCCGUAUAGUAGGCAGACGCUUUACCGUCUGAGCCACCAGGGAAGUCAUCUGUAUUAUAUAGUAACCGAAAAUGCUCAGGUUUUAUUAUGAGAAUUUCCCCUUCCUCAGAGAUCAUGAGGUUUUCAUUAACAUUUUUAUUUGGGGCCUGUAGUUGACAAGAACAAAGCUGAGGAAAACCAACAAACACUGUCCUACUUGGCGUCGUCACCUCACUGGUUAUGAGCUCCUCUGGAACAGAGUCCGACACCCCACCCUGACCCCUGCCUCGGCCCUAGUAACACAGUGCUUACGCUUACUACUAAGCCCACACUCCAGAGCCUGUGGGAUGCAACUACUGAGCCCAUGUGCUGCAAUUACUGAAGCCCAUGAGCUUAGAGCUGGUGCUCCACAAGAGAAGCCACCGCAAUGAGAAGCUCGCACACCACAACCAGAGAAAGCCUUUGUGCAGCAAGGAAGACUCAGCACAGUCAAAAAUAAAUAAGUAUCAUAAAUGAAGUUAAUUGAUAAUUCCUUUGAAAAUUUUCUUUUGAUAUUCUUAAAUAUGACAAAUCAAAACAACAUGAGGAGUAUAGAAUUAGCCAGGUGCAGAUCUUUGCCUGUUUAUGGAUUAGUUACAUACAGCUGCCAGACAUGUGAAAUAGACUUCUCAAAAACUUCAGGAAGAAGGUUUGUAAGUGGAAUAACGUGCACGUGUGGAGUUUGCCAUUUUAAGAAUCUUAUGACAAAUUUUUUCAAAAAGGAAAUAACUAUUUCUGAAU
Dama dama (fallow deer) is the source of this 1510-nucleotide long non-coding RNA. RefSeq lists it as uncharacterized. The transcript is spliced from 3 exons. Lineage: Eukaryota; Metazoa; Chordata; Mammalia; Artiodactyla; Cervidae. The record is from RefSeq and is a predicted model, not a curated record.